AAUCCAUAGGUUAAUGAGGCGAACCGGGGGAACUGAAACAUCUAAGUACCCCGAGGAAAAGAAAUCAACCGAGAUUCCCCCAGUAGCGGCGAGCGAACGGGGAGGAGCCCAGAGCCUGAAUCAGCAUGUGUGUUAGUGGAAGCGUCUGGAAAGGCGCGCGAUACAGGGUGACAGCCCCGUACACAAAAGCGCAUGUGCUGUGAGCUCGAUGAGUAGGGCGGGACACGUGGUAUCCUGUCUGAAUAUGGGGGGACCAUCCUCCAAGGCUAAAUACUCCUGACUGACCGAUAGUGAACCAGUACCGUGAGGGAAAGGCGAAAAGAACCCCGGCGAGGGGAGUGAAAAAGAACCUGAAACCGUGUACGUACAAGCAGUGGGAGCACAGGUUUACCUGUGUGACUGCGUACCUUUUGUAUAAUGGGUCAGCGACUUAUAUUCUGUAGCAAGGUUAACCGAAUAGGGGAGCCGGAGGGAAACCGAGUCUUAAUUGGGCGUUAAGUUGCAGGGUAUAGACCCGAAACCCGGUGAUCUAGCCAUGGGCAGGUUGAAGGUUGGGUAACACUAACUGGAGGACCGAACCGACUAAUGUUGAAAAAUUAGCGGAUGACCUGUGGCUGGGGGUGAAAGGCCAAUCAAACCGGGAGAUAGCUGGUUCUCCCCGAAAGCUAUUUAGGUAGCGCCUCGUGAAUUCAUCUCCGGGGGUAGAGCACUGUUUCGGCUAGGGGGCCAUCCCGGCUUACCAACCCGAUGCAAACUGCGAAUACCGGAGAAUGUUAUCACGGGAGACACACGGCGGGUGCUAACGUCCGUCGUGAAGAGGGAAACAACCCAGACCGCCAGCUAAGGUCCCAAAGUCAUGGUUAAGUGGGAAACGAUGUGGGAAGGCCCAGACAGCCAGGAUGUUGGCUUAGAAGCAGCCAUCAUUUAAAGAAAGCGUAAUAGCUCACUGGUCGAGUCGGCCUGCGCGGAAGAUGUAACGGGGCUAAACCAUGCACCGAAGCUGCGGCAGCGAACGUAUCACUUAAAGCGAUUCAGCGGGUUACGAUUGACGGAGCGAAGCGACGUCAAAGCGUAUACAAAGUCGAGUCGGUUUAAGGAUACGUUCGUUGGGUAGGGGAGCGUUCUGUAAGCCUGUGAAGGUGGCCUGUGAGGGUUGCUGGAGGUAUCAGAAGUGCGAAUGCUGACAUAAGUAACGAUAAAGCGGGUGAAAAGCCCGCUCGCCGGAAGACCAAGGGUUCCUGUCCAACGUUAAUCGGGGCAGGGUGAGUCGACCCCUAAGGCGAGGCCGAAAGGCGUAGUCGAUGGGAAACGGGUUAAUAUUCCCGUACUUGGUGUUACUGCGAAGGGGGGACGGAGAAGGCUAUGUUGGCCGGGCGACGGUUGUCCCGGUUUAAG
This 1395-nucleotide ribosomal RNA is filed under the name Salmonella enterica subsp. enterica serovar Newport. Its description in RNAcentral is "partial 23S ribosomal RNA". It matches the Rfam family "Bacterial large subunit ribosomal RNA", at positions 161 to 1516 of the family's 2925-position model. Lineage: Bacteria; Pseudomonadati; Pseudomonadota; Gammaproteobacteria; Enterobacterales; Enterobacteriaceae. The record is from RNAcentral.